This 440-nucleotide ribosomal RNA is filed under the name uncultured bacterium. RNAcentral describes it as "partial 16S ribosomal RNA". It matches the Rfam family "Bacterial small subunit ribosomal RNA", at positions 338 to 795 of the family's 1533-position model. The record is from RNAcentral.
CCUACGGGGGGCAGCAGUGGGGGAUAUUGCACAAUGGGGGAAACCCUGAUGCAGCGACGCCGCGUGAGUGAAGAAGUAUUUCGGUAUGUAAAGCUCUAUCAGCAGGGAAGAAAAUGACAGUACCUGACCAAGAAGCCCCGGCUAACUACGUGCCAGCAGCCGCGGUACUACGUAGGGGGCAAGCGUUAUCCGGAUUUACUGGGUGUAAAGGGAGCGUAGACGGUGUGGUAAGUCUGGAGUGAAAUCCCAGGGCCCAACCCCGGGACUGCUUUGGAAACUGUGGAGCUGGAGUGCAGGAGGGGCAGGCGGAAUGCGUGGGGUAGCGGUGAAAUGCGUAGAUAUCAGGAGGAACACCAGCGGCGAAGGCGGCUUACGGGACUGAAACUGACGUUGAGGCACGAAAGCGUGGGGAGCAAACAGGAUUAGAUACCCGAGUAGUC